This 70-nucleotide transfer RNA is filed under the name Schistosoma malayensis. Its description in RNAcentral is "tRNA-Lys". It matches the Rfam family "tRNA". From Rfam's summary of the family: Transfer RNA (tRNA) molecules are approximately 80 nucleotides in length. Their secondary structure includes four short double-helical elements and three loops (D, anti-codon, and T loops). Further hydrogen bonds mediate the characteristic L-shaped molecular structure. tRNAs have two regions of fundamental functional importance: the anti-codon, which is responsible for specific mRNA codon recognition, and the 3' end, to which the tRNAs corresponding amino acid is attached (by aminoacyl-tRNA synthetases). tRNAs cope with the degeneracy of the genetic code in two manners: having more than one tRNA (with a specific anti-codon) for a particular amino acid; and 'wobble' base-pairing, i.e. permitting non-standard base-pairing at the 3rd anti-codon position. The record is from RNAcentral. Lineage: Eukaryota; Metazoa; Platyhelminthes; Trematoda; Strigeidida; Schistosomatidae.
CUGCAGGUAUCUUAAAUGUUAAAGUAUAAGACUCUUAAUCUUAUGAUGUUGGAUAAAUGAACUCUGUAGA